UACGUAGGGUGCAAGCGUUGUCCGGAAUUAUUGGGCGUAAAGAGCUCGUAGGCGGUCUGUCGCGUCGGCUGUGAAAACCCGGGGCUCAACCCCGGGCCUGCAGUCGAUACGGGCAAGCUAGAGUUCGGCAGGGGAGACUGGAAUUCCUGGUGUAGCGGUGAAAUGCGCAGAUAUCAGGAGGAACACCGGUGGCGAAGGCGGGUCUCUGGGCCGAUACUGACGCUGAGGCGCGAAAGCGUGGGGAGCAAACAGG
Molecule: ribosomal RNA, 253 nt
Filed under: uncultured bacterium
Lineage: Bacteria
Description: partial 16S ribosomal RNA
Rfam family: Bacterial small subunit ribosomal RNA
Source: RNAcentral